GCAGGCGGUUUCUUAAGUCUGAUGUGAAAGCCCCCGGCUCAACCGGGGAGGGUCAUUGGAAAUUGGGGAACUUGAGUGCAGAAGAGGAGAGUGGAAUUCCACGUGUAGCGGUGAAAUGCGUAGAGAUGUGGAGGUACACCAGUGGCGAAGGCGACUCUCUGGUCUGUAACUGACGCUGAGGAGCGAAAGCGUGGGGAGCGAACAGGAUUAGAUACCCUGGUAGUCCACGCCGUAAACGAUGAGUGCUAAGUGUUUGGGGGUUUCCGCCCCUUAGUGCUGCAGCUAACGCAUUAAGCACUCCGCCUGGGGAGUACGGUCGCAAGACUGAAACUCAAAGGAAUUGACGGGGGCCCGCACAAGCGGUGGAGCAUGUGGUUUAAUUCGAAGCAACGCGAAGAACCUUACCAGGUCUUGACAUCCUCUGACAAUCCUAGAGAUAGGACGUCCCCUUCGGGGGCAGAGUGACAGGUGGUGCAUGGUUGUCGUCAGCUCGUGUCGUGAGAUGUUGGGUUAAGUCCCGCAACGAGCGCAACCCUUGAUCUUAGUUGCCAGCAUUCAGUUGGGCACUCUAAGGUGACUGCCGGUGACAAACCGGAGGAAGGUGGGGAUGACGUCAAAUCAUCAUGCCCCUUAUGACCUGGGCUACACACGUGCUACAAUGGACAGAACAAAGGGCAGCGAAACCGCGAGGUUAAGCCAAUCCCACAAAUCUGUUCUCAGUUCGGAUCGCAGUCUGCAACUCGACUGCGUGAAGCUGGAAUCGCUAGUAAUCGCGGAUCAGCAUGCC
This 787-nucleotide ribosomal RNA is filed under the name Bacillus sp. BCCS 040. Its description in RNAcentral is "bacterial SSU rRNA". It matches the Rfam family "Bacterial small subunit ribosomal RNA", at positions 571 to 1358 of the family's 1533-position model. Lineage: Bacteria; Bacillati; Bacillota; Bacilli; Caryophanales; Bacillaceae. The record is from RNAcentral.